UGAGGAAUAUUGCACAAUGGGCGCAAGCCUGAUGCAGCAACGCCGCGUGAGGGACGAAGGCCUUCGGGUCGUAAACCUCUUUUCUGGGGGACGAGUAAGGACGGUACCCCAGGAAUAAGUCUCGGCUAACUACGUGCCAGCAGCCGCGGUAAAACGUAGGAGGCGAGCGUUAUCCGGAUUUACUGGGCGUAAAGCGUACGCAGGUGGCUUCGUUAGUCGGACAUGAAAGCUCCUGGCUUAACUGGGAGAGGUUGUUCGAUACUGCGGGGCUUGAGGUUGGGAGAGGGACGUGGUAUUCCCGGUGUAGUGGUGGAAUGCGUAGAUAUCGGGAGGAACCCCAGUGGCGCAAGCGGCGUCCUGGCCCACACCUGACGCUGAGGUACGAAAGCGUGGGUAGCAAACAG
This 404-nucleotide ribosomal RNA is filed under the name uncultured bacterium. RNAcentral describes it as "bacterial SSU rRNA". It matches the Rfam family "Bacterial small subunit ribosomal RNA", at positions 355 to 775 of the family's 1533-position model. The record is from RNAcentral.